CCUUUGUUCCUGACAUCGCUAUUAUUGGAAGGUGGAAGAUCGCAUUUCACCGAGCGACGUGAUGGCGUCUUAACGAAGCUUAUUCCCGUUGCUACGUUGCAAAGUCAAACCUUCCGGAGACGAGAGACGACCAAUCGAUGAAAAGGUGACUCAAAAUAUCCAUGACAAGAGCGGAACGAUCAAUGAUGUAUGAGAAGCGAAAGUCAGUUGGUCAGCAGUGUGCCGAACAAAAUCAUGAAAGGCGCACUGACUGAUAAGCCUAAAAACUCAUGAUGAAAUGGACGAAAAAAGAAGAAUGCCUGAUGCCUGGAUCAGUAGAGGCCAACAGCGUCACCGGUUCCAACGAUGAAACGACCUCGGCAUCGAUGUAUUUUUAUUUAACAGUGUAAUAAAUAAGUGAAAUAAUUUCGAUAACAAAUAAAAAAUGGUUUAAAAAAGA
Molecule: long non-coding RNA, 439 nt
Organism: Armigeres subalbatus
Lineage: Eukaryota; Metazoa; Arthropoda; Insecta; Diptera; Culicidae
Exons: 4
Source: RefSeq, a predicted model, not a curated record